AUUGAACGCUGGCGGCAGGCUUAACACAUGCAAGUCGAACGGUAACAUAAAGAAGCUUGCUUCUUUGAUGACGAGUGGCGGACGGGUGAGUAAUGCUUGGGAAUCUAGCUUAUGGAGGGGGAUAACUACGGGAAACUGUAGCUAAUACCGCGUAGAAUCGAGAGAUGAAAGUGUGGGACCUUCGGGCCACAUGCCAUAGGAUGAGCCCAAGUGGGAUUAGGUAGUUGGUGAGGUAAAGGCUCACCAAGCCGACGAUCUCUAGCUGGUCUGAGAGGAUGACCAGCCACACUGGGACUGAGACACGGCCCAGACUCCUACGGGAGGCAGCAGUGGGGAAUAUUGCGCAAUGGGGGCAACCCUGACGCAGCCAUGCCGCGUGAAUGAAGAAGGCCUUCGGGUUGUAAAGUUCUUUCGGUAGCGAGGAAGGCAUUUAGUUUAAUAGACUAGGUGAUUGACGUUAACUACAGAAGAAGCACCGGCUAACUCCGUGCCAGCAGCCGCGGUAAUACGGAGGGUGCGAGCGUUAAUCGGAAUAACUGGGCGUAAAGGGCACGCAGGCGGUGACUUAAGUGAGGUGUGAAAGCCCCGGGCUUAACCUGGGAAUUGCAUUUCAUACUGGGUCGCUAGAGUACUUUAGGGGGGGGUAGAAUUCCACGUGUAGCGGUGAAAUGCGUAGAGAUGUGGAGGAAUACCGAAGGCGAAGGCAGCCCCUUGGGAAUGUACUGACGCUCAUGUGCGAAAGCGUGGGGAGCAAACAGG
This 759-nucleotide ribosomal RNA is filed under the name Parahaemophilus parainfluenzae. RNAcentral's name for it is "Haemophilus parainfluenzae bacterial SSU rRNA". It matches the Rfam family "Bacterial small subunit ribosomal RNA", at positions 28 to 776 of the family's 1533-position model. The record is from RNAcentral. Lineage: Bacteria; Pseudomonadati; Pseudomonadota; Gammaproteobacteria; Pasteurellales; Pasteurellaceae.